CCUACGGGAGGCAGCAGUGAGGAAUAUUGGUCAAUGGGCGGGAGCCUGAACCAGCCAAGUCGCGUGAGGGACGACGGUCCUAUGGAUUGUAAACCUCUUUUGUCGGGGAACAAAGGCGCCCACGGGUGGGCGGAUGAGUGUACCCGAAGAAAAAGCAUCGGCUAACUCCGUGCCAGCAGCCGCGGUAAUACGGAGGAUGCGAGCGUUAUCCGGAUUUACUGGGUGUAAAGGGCGUGCAGCCGGGAAGACAAGUCAGAUGUGAAAUCCCGCGGCUCAACCGCGGAACUGCAUUUGAAACUGUUUUUCUUGAGUACCGGAGAGGUCAUCGGAAUUCCUUGUGUAGCGGUGAAAUGCGUAGAUAUAAGGAAGAACACCAGUGGCGAAGGCGGAUGACUGGACGGCAACUGACGGUGAGGCGCGAAAGCGUGGGGAGCAAACAGGAUUAGAUACCCCAGUAGUC
Molecule: ribosomal RNA, 460 nt
Filed under: uncultured bacterium
Lineage: Bacteria
Description: partial 16S ribosomal RNA
Rfam family: Bacterial small subunit ribosomal RNA
Source: RNAcentral